GUGGGGAAUCUUAGACAAUGGGCGCAAGCCUGAUCUAGCCAUGCCGCGUGAGCGAUGAAGGCCUUAGGGUUGUAAAGCUCUUUCAGGGGGGAAGAUAAUGACGGUACCCCCAGAAGAAGCCCCGGCUAACUCCGUGCCAGCAGCCGCGGUAAUACGGAGGGGGCUAGCGUUGUUCGGAAUUACUGGGCGUAAAGCGCACGUAGGCGGACCAGAAAGUCAGGGGUGAAAUCCCGGGGCUCAACCCCGGAACUGCCUUUGAAACUCCUGGUCUUGAGGUCGAGAGAGGUGAGUGGAAUUCCGAGUGUAGAGGUGAAAUUCGUAGAUAUUCGGAGGAACACCAGUGGCGAAGGCGGCUCACUGGCUCGAUACUGACGCUGAGGUGCGAAAGCGUGGGGAGCAAACAGGAUUAGAUACCCGUGUAGUCC
This 425-nucleotide ribosomal RNA is filed under the name uncultured bacterium. RNAcentral's name for it is "partial 16S ribosomal RNA". It matches the Rfam family "Bacterial small subunit ribosomal RNA", at positions 354 to 796 of the family's 1533-position model. The record is from RNAcentral.